This 450-nucleotide ribosomal RNA is filed under the name uncultured bacterium. RNAcentral's name for it is "partial 16S ribosomal RNA". It matches the Rfam family "Bacterial small subunit ribosomal RNA", at positions 338 to 795 of the family's 1533-position model. The record is from RNAcentral.
CCUACGGGGGGCUGCAGUCGAGAAUUUUUGGCAAUGGGCGAAAGCCUGACCAAGCGAUGCCGCGUGCGGGAUGAAGGCCUUCGGGUUGUAAACCGCUGUCAGUGGGGAGGAAAGCUUUGCGAAGAGCAAGGCUUGACCUAUCUGCAGAGGAAGUGUGGGCUAAGUUCGUGCCAGCAGCCGCGGUAAGACGAACCACACAAACGUUAUUCGGAAUUACUGGGGUGCAAGGGUGGGGAGGCAAGGCAGAAGUGAAAUCCCUCGGCUCAACCGAGGAACUGCGCCCAAAACUACUGUGCUUGAGGAAGAUAGAGGUAAGCGGAACUUACGGUGGAGCGGUGAAAUGCGUUGAUAUCGUAAGGAACACCUGUGGCGAAAGCGGCUUACUGGGUCUUUUCUGACGCUGAUGCACGAAAGCUAGGGGAGCAAACGGGAUUAGAUACCCGAGUAGUC